This is a long non-coding RNA of Gallus gallus (chicken), 1699 nucleotides long. NCBI's taxonomy places the organism in Eukaryota, Metazoa, Chordata, Aves, Galliformes, Phasianidae. The record is from Ensembl.
AUUUGGCCAGCUUGCAAAGCUGACCAUUUCCAAAGGAUUUAGCUAUGUUAGAAAAAGUAUUUUAAUGACAUUACCAUACAGAAGCUGGAACAUAACCUCAAAUACUGUGGAGGUGUCUUUUCUCUCUAAUAGCACAGCCCAAUCCUGGCUGUGUGUGGCACCACUCCAGCCAUCAAUGAGCUGAGCAUGCCCUGGAGGGGUUGGCUGGAUGUGGGUCAGUUGAAGAUGCUUGGGAGAAGUAAAGUCCUUCCCCUCUCAUAUAGCAGUGUAGAUAUAGCUCCAUGCUGAGCUCAGGGAAGCAGUGUGUGCUCAGAAACAUCAGGCUCCCUUUGACGUAUGCGGGCUGGUGUUGCAAGGGACUGCACUGGAAGGGCAAGCUUUAGAGAUCAUUUCUUUCCGAGCUCCAAAUGUCUGAGUCUGUACAGAGUCGGUGACAAUCAGCGUGAAUCCAUUUGAGAUUUGAAAGCACGUUCCUUCAGCCUAAAAGUAGAUGUGUGAAGUUGUUUUUCUUCCUCAACUUUUGUAUUUAUCUCCUGCUGCAGAUGGGUGCUAAAACAAAAGGUGCACUGCCGCCACCACCUCUUUGCUGGCCAUAGGUUUGUCGCAGUGUGGCCUUGCUGGAGACAUCAGCUGGUCAAACAGGGAAAGAUUUAAGUAAGUCUGAAGGAAACAACCUUUUAUCCAAACAUGGAGUUGGUGAGCAAACACAGCCCGUGGGCUUCUGGGCAUCCUGAAAGAGGAUUAUUAGCUCCCCUGCUGCACGGUUUCUUGGAGCUUUUUUGCCCCACAGUUAAGAUUCCCCACGCAGAUUCACACCAUACCCCUGCAGACCGCGAGUUAUCGAAGCUCAUACAGCACAUCCAAUCAACCUGAAAGGCUGGCUGAGUUACCCGCAUCACUGCUUCACUUCAGUGUUUCUCACACCUUCGUCCUGAAGGAAGGACACAAAGAUGUUACUCUGAUUGUCUUUGGUUUCUUCAGUUUUUCAUCCCCCUUCGAGUUGCACAGGCACCGAAGUAAAGGUGAGCCCACCUGCCAGUCUCUGGGACCCAAGUUUGGCUGUGUUUGGCUGCUUCCAUCAUACUCCACACAACGAAAUUAGGUCAUGACUUUUUGCCUCCCAGAGCUCCUCUAUGCACUGACUGGAGGCACCUUGAAGCUUAGCACAGAAUACCACGCCGAAGCCUUAGGAAUGAAAAGCAAAUAACAGCCACGGUUCGGUAGCGAAGCAGCGCUCACUUCUGUAAUUUCUGACCUUUCAUUUUAGACGUGCGCUUACAAAACGAAGCUGUCAGAAUCCCAUUUUCCUGCUCCAAGUGAAAGGCUAUUGUCUGGAUCGCAGCCUCCUCCAGCCCUCCUCCACGCAUGGCUCCGCGUUGUUUUCCUCCGUAGCUCAGGAGUUAUGAAAGCUUUUAGCCAAAGUGGCAUUUCCUCCUCCUCCGCUCUGCUGUUGUCACAGCUGAUUUUAUAGAACAAAUCUAAUUUUACCUUCAGCAAGCUUUGUUGGUGUUUGUUUUUAACAGCAACUCUUCCACUGAUAGCAAAAAUGUUCUUUUACACCAAGGGUUCAUUUCUGUGGAGAAAAAGAUCCUUUUGCCUGGCUUUCUCUGUAGCCCACAUUUUCCUAAAAAUUGGAGUAGGUCUUCAAUUUAUAUGAAUACUUUGAACCUCAUAUUUACCUAGGGCAUUAAGUGUAUCA